CCGAGAUUCCCCCAGUAGCGGCGAGCGAACGGGGAGGAGCCCAGAGCCUGAAUCAGCAUGUGUGUUAGUGGAAGCGUCUGGAAAGGCGCGCGAUACAGGGUGACAGCCCCGUACACAAAAGCGCAUGUGCUGUGAGCUCGAUGAGUAGGGCGGGACACGUGGUAUCCUGUCUGAAUAUGGGGGGACCAUCCUCCAAGGCUAAAUACUCCUGACUGACCGAUAGUGAACCAGUACCGUGAGGGAAAGGCGAAAAGAACCCCGGCGAGGGGAGUGAAAAAGAACCUGAAACCGUGUACGUACAAGCAGUGGGAGCACAGGUUUACCUGUGUGACUGCGUACCUUUUGUAUAAUGGGUCAGCGACUUAUAUUCUGUAGCAAGGUUAACCGUAUAGGGGAGCCGGAGGGAAACCGAGUCUUAAUUGGGCGUUAAGUUGCAGGGUAUAGACCCGAAACCCGGUGAUCUAGCCAUGGGCAGGUUGAAGGUUGGGUAACACUAACUGGAGGACCGAACCGACUAAUGUUGAAAAAUUAGCGGAUGACCUGUGGCUGGGGGUGAAAGGCCAAUCAAACCGGGAGAUAGCUGGUUCUCCCCGAAAGCUAUUUAGGUAGCGCCUCGUGAAUUCAUCUCCGGGGGUAGAGCACUGUUUCGGCUAGGGGGCCAUCCCGGCUUACCAACCCGAUGCAAACUGCGAAUACCGGAGAAUGUUAUCACGGGAGACACACGGCGGGUGCUAACGUCCGUCGUGAAGAGGGAAACAACCCAGACCGCCAGCUAAGGUCCCAAAGUCAUGGUUAAGUGGGAAACGAUGUGGGAAGGCCCAGACAGCCAGGAUGUUGGCUUAGAAGCAGCCAUCAUUUAAAGAAAGCGUAAUAGCUCACUGGUCGAGUCGGCCUGCGCGGAAGAUGUAACGGGGCUAAACCAUGCACCGAAGCUGCGGCAGCGAACGUAUCACCCAAGACAACUUUACGGAGUUGACGAUUGACGGAGCGAAGCGACGUCAAAGCGUUCAUUAAAGUCGAGUUGGCUUAGGGAUACGUUCGUUGGGUAGGGGAGCGUUCUGUAAGCCUGUGAAGGUGUGUCGUGAGGCAUGCUGGAGGUAUCAGAAGUGCGAAUGCUGACAUAAGUAACGAUAAAGCGGGUGAAAAGCCCGCUCGCCGGAAGACCAAGGGUUCCUGUCCAACGUUAAUCGGGGCAGGGUGAGUCGACCCCUAAGGCGAGGCCGAAAGGCGUAGUCGAUGGGAAACGGGUUAAUAUUCCCGUACUUGGUGUUACUGCGAAGGGGGGACGGAGAAGGCUAUGUUGGCCGGGCGACGGUUGUCCCGGUUUAAGCGUGUAGGUGUGUGUUCCAGGUAAAUCCGGUU
This 1362-nucleotide ribosomal RNA is filed under the name Salmonella enterica subsp. enterica. RNAcentral describes it as "partial 23S ribosomal RNA". It matches the Rfam family "Bacterial large subunit ribosomal RNA", at positions 229 to 1547 of the family's 2925-position model. Lineage: Bacteria; Pseudomonadati; Pseudomonadota; Gammaproteobacteria; Enterobacterales; Enterobacteriaceae. The record is from RNAcentral.